Imleria badia is the source of this 96-nucleotide non-coding RNA. NCBI's taxonomy places the organism in Eukaryota, Fungi, Basidiomycota, Agaricomycetes, Boletales, Boletaceae. The record is from the annotation of a GenBank genome assembly.
GGCGCUAUAGCCAAGUGGUUACGGCGACAGAUUAGAACAUGAAGGGAGUUCAUCUGUUACUCUUUGAGUGCGCAGGUUCGAAUCCUGCUGGCGUCG